GAUGAACGCUGGCGGCGUGCCUAAUACAUGCAAGUCGAGCGAACAGACGAGGAGCUUGCUCCUCUAACGUUAGCGGCGGACGGGUGAGUAACACGUGGAUAACCUACCUAUAAGACUGGGAUAACUUCGGGAAACCGGAGCUAAUACCGGAUAAUAUAUUGAACCGCAUGGUUCAAUAGUGAAAGACGGUUUUGCUGUCACUUAUAGAUGGAUCCGCGCCGCAUUAGCUAGUUGGUAAGGUAACAGCUUACCAAGGCAACGAUGCGUAGCCGACCUGAGAGGGUGAUCGGCCACACUGGAACUGAGACACGGUCCAGACUCCUACGGGAGGCAGCAGUAGGGAAUCUUCCGCAAUGGGCGAAAGCCUGACGGAGCAACGCCGCGUGAGUGAUGAAGGUCUUCGGAUCGUAAAACUCUGUAUUUAGGGAAGAACAAAUGUGUAAGUAACUAUGCACGUCUUGACGGUACCUAAUCAGAAAGCCACGGCUAACUACGUG
This 497-nucleotide ribosomal RNA is filed under the name uncultured bacterium. Its description in RNAcentral is "partial 16S ribosomal RNA". It matches the Rfam family "Bacterial small subunit ribosomal RNA", at positions 28 to 507 of the family's 1533-position model. The record is from RNAcentral.